Molecule: RNA transcript, 1102 nt
Organism: Octodon degus (degu)
Lineage: Eukaryota; Metazoa; Chordata; Mammalia; Rodentia; Octodontidae
Gene name: THO complex subunit 3 pseudogene
Exons: 1
Source: RefSeq, a predicted model, not a curated record
UUUAGUCAGCUUGAACUUUGGCAUGGCGGUGCCGGCUGCUGCUAUGGGGCCCUCAGCGCUAGGCCAGAGCGGUCCGGGCUUGAUGGCCGCCUGGUGCUCAGUGAGCAGCAGUCUGUUGCACUGUGUGGUUGGAAUGCAGAAGCUCUUCCAGGGCUACAGUAAGACAUGCAAGUUCCUGGCACAGAGUGCCAAGGUAUACUCGGAGGCGUGAAGCUGCGACAGCCGUCGCUUAGCUUCGGGAGCCUUUUGACAAGACAGUGUGUUCUUGCUGGAGAAAGACCGGCUGGUCAAAGAAAACAAUUAUCGGGGACAUGGGGAUAGUGUGGACCAGCUUUGUUGGCACCCAAGUAAUCCUGAUCUUUUUGUCACAGCAUCUGGAGAUAAAACCAUUCGCAUCUGGGAUGUGAGGACUACAAAAUGUAUUGCCACUGUGAGUACUAAAGGAGAGAACAUUAAUAUCUGCUGGAGUCCUGAUGGGCACACCAUUGCUGUAGGCAACAAGGAUGAUGUGGUGACCUUUACUGAUGCCAAGAUACAUCAUUCCAAGCAGAGGAACAACUCAAGUAUGAGGUCAAUGAAAUUUCCUGGAACAACGACAGUUCCUGACAAACGGCGAUGGUUGUAUCAACAUGCUCGGCUACCCAGAACUGAAGCCUGUGCAACUCAUCAAUGCUCACCCUUCUAACUGCAUCUGUAUCAAGUCUGAUCCCAUAGUGAAAUACUUUGCUACAGAAAGUGCUGAUGCUUUGGUCAGUCUCUGGGAUGUGGAUGAGUUAGUGUGUGUGCAGUGCUUUUCCAGACUGGAUUGGCCUGAGGACCCUCAGUUUUAGCCAUGAUGGGAAAAUGCUGGUAUCAGCUUUGGAGGAUCAUUUUAUUGAUAUACCUCAAAUACAGUGUGAGUCCCCAACCUUCACCAUGGCCUAGCACCCUAAGAGGCCUCUGCUAGCAUUUGCCUGUGACAACAAAGAUGGGAAAUAUGACAGCAGCCGGGAAGCUGGAACUGUAAAGCUGUUUGGCCUUCCCAGUGAUCCCUGAGAGGAGGGCCUGGCAGAGACCUUACUGAGUGUAGCUUGUUCUCCUGGACUUGGUGGGCGCCCUUCCA